RNAcentral lists this small RNA (157 nucleotides) under Staphylococcus aureus. RNAcentral describes it as "HMPRFS0000_0918". Lineage: Bacteria; Bacillati; Bacillota; Bacilli; Caryophanales; Staphylococcaceae. The record is from RNAcentral.
AAUUACGUUGGCGAAUCAAAAUUUAGAUAAACCUAGAAAUAUACCUAUUAAUCUCUGGGUCAAUGGUAAGCAAAAUACUAUAUCUACAGACAAAGUUUCUACUCAAAAAAAGAGGUAACUGCUCAAGAGAUUGAUAUUAAGUUACGAAAAUACCUAC